GACGAACGCUGGCGGCGUGCUAAUACAUGCAAGUCGAGCGGAGUUUAUCGGGAGCUUGCUCUGAUAAACUUAGCGGCGGACGGGUGAGUAACACGUAGGCAACCUGCCCGUAAGACUGGGAUAACUACCGGAAACGGUAGCUAAUACCGGAUACGCAAGUCUCUCGCAUGAGGAACUUGGGAAAGGCGGAGCAAUCUGUCACUUACGGAUGGGCCUGCGGCGCAUUAGCUAGUUGGUGGGGUAACGGCUCACCAAGGCGACGAUGCGUAGCCGACCUGAGAGGGUGAACGGCCACACUGGGACUGAGACACGGCCCAGACUCCUACGGGAGGCAGCAGUAGGGAAUCUUCCGCAAUGGACGAAAGUCUGACGGAGCAACGCCGCGUGAGUGAUGAAGGUUUUCGGAUCGUAAAGCUCUGUUGCCAGGGAAGAACGUCCGUUAGAGUAACUGCUAACGGAGUGACGGUACCUGAGAAGAAAGCCCCGGCUAACUACGUG
RNAcentral lists this ribosomal RNA (498 nucleotides) under uncultured bacterium. RNAcentral describes it as "bacterial SSU rRNA". It matches the Rfam family "Bacterial small subunit ribosomal RNA", at positions 28 to 507 of the family's 1533-position model. The record is from RNAcentral.